RNAcentral lists this ribosomal RNA (497 nucleotides) under uncultured bacterium. RNAcentral's name for it is "partial 16S ribosomal RNA". It matches the Rfam family "Bacterial small subunit ribosomal RNA", at positions 28 to 507 of the family's 1533-position model. The record is from RNAcentral.
GAUGAACGCUGGCGGCGUGCCUAAUACAUGCAAGUCGAGCGAACGUACGAGAAGCUUGCUUCUCUGAUGUUAGCGGCUGACGUGUGAGUAACACGUGUAUAACCUACCUAUAAUACUUGUAUAACUUCGGGAAACCGGAGCUAAUACCGGAUAAUAUUUUUAACCUCAUUGUUCAAAAGUUAAAGACGGUCUUUCUGUCCCUUCUCGAUGUUUCCCCGCUGCAUUAGCUAGUUGGUAAGGUAACGGCUUACCAAGGCAACGAUGCAUAUCCGACCUGAGAGGGUGAUCGGCCACACUGGAACUGAGACACGGUCCAGACUCCUACGGGAGGCAGCAGUAGGGAAUCUUCCGCAAUGGGCGAAAGCAUGACGGAGCAACGCCGCGUGAGUGAUGAAGGUCUUCGGAUCGUAAAACUCUGUUAUUAGGGAAGAACAUAUGUGUAAGUAACUGUGCACAUCUUGACGGUACCUAAUCAGAAAGCCACGGCUAACUACGUG